Molecule: long non-coding RNA, 192 nt
Organism: Octopus sinensis (East Asian common octopus)
Lineage: Eukaryota; Metazoa; Mollusca; Cephalopoda; Octopoda; Octopodidae
Exons: 3
Source: RefSeq, a predicted model, not a curated record
UAUUUCAUCUGCUGCUACGUUCUAAGUUCAAAUUCUGCCGAGUUUGACUUUGCCUUUCAUCCCUUUGGGGUCAAUAAAAUAAGUACCAGUUACACACUGGGGUCGAUGUAAUCGACUAUCCCCCCGCUUCAAAUUUUCAGGCCAUGUACCUAUAAUAGAAAGGAUUACAAAGGCGGCGAGCUGGCAGAAAUG